Aethalodelphis obliquidens (Pacific white-sided dolphin) is the source of this 3439-nucleotide long non-coding RNA. RefSeq lists it as uncharacterized. Lineage: Eukaryota; Metazoa; Chordata; Mammalia; Artiodactyla; Delphinidae. The transcript has 4 exons. The record is from RefSeq and is a predicted model, not a curated record.
AGAUUUAGUGAGAGCUGCACUGAAGGGGCAACGGCGAGCGCUUAGAGUUAGAGCUGCGUUGAAGGGGCAACACAGAGCGUUGAGAGUCAGGGCUGCUGUGAAGCGGAAACAGUGGUGAGAGUUAGAGCUGUUGUGAAGGGGCAACACACAGCGCUGAGAGUUAGAGCUGCUGUGAAGGGGCAACAGAGCUCGCUGAGAGUUAGAGCUGCUGUGAAGGGGCAACUGAGAGCACUGAGAGUUAAAGCCGCUGUGAAGGGGCAACAGAGAGCGUAGAGAGUCAGGGCUGCUGUGAAGCGGAAACAGAGAUUGGUGAGAGUUAGAGCUGCUGUGAAGGGGAAACAGAGAGUGGUGAGAGUUACAGCUGUUGUGAAGGGGCAACACACAGCGCUGAGAUUUAGAGCUGCUGUGAAGGGGCAACACAGAUCGCUGAGAUUUAGUCGGAGCUCCUCUGAAGGGGCAACAGAGCGCUCUGAGAGUUAGAGCUGCUGUGAAGGGGCCACAGAAAGCGCUGAGAUUUAGUGCUACUCUGAAGGGCAACAGAGCGCGCUGAGAGUUAGAGCUGCUGUGAAGGGGCAACAGAGCGUGCUGAGAGAGUUUCUGUGAAGGGGCAACACAGCGCGCUGAGAUUUAGUCAGAGCUGCACUGAAGGGGCAACAGCGAGCGCUGAGAGUUAGAGCUGCGUUAAAGGGGCAACAGAGCUCGCUGAGGUUUACAGCUGCUGUGAAGGGGCAACUGAGAGCGCUUAGAAUUAGAGCUGCUCUCGAUGAGCAAACAGAGCGGUGAGAGUUAGAGCUCCUGUGAAGGGGCAAUAGAGAGCGCUGAGAGUUAAUGCUGCCUUGGGGAAACAGAGAGCACUGAGAUUUAGUCAGAGCUGCUCUGAAGGGCAACAGAGAGCGGUGAGAGUUAGAGCUGCGUUAAAGUGGGAACAGAGUGCUGUGAGUUAUAGAGCUGCAUUGAAGGGGCAACUGAGAGCGCUUAGAGUUAGAGCUGCUGUGAAGAAGCAAACAGAGCGCUGAGAGAUAGAGCUGCUGUGGAGGGGAAACAGACAGCGCUGAGAUUUAGUCAGAGCUACAAUGAAGGGUCAACAGAGCGCUGAGAGUUAUAGCUGCUAUGAAUGGGCAACAGUGAGCGCUGAGUUACAGCUGUGUUGAUGGGCAACCCAGAGCGUUGAGAGUGAGGGCUGCUGUGAAGCGGAAACAGAGUGGUGAGAGUUAGAGCUGCUGUGAAAGGGAAACAGAAUGGUGAGAGUUCCAGCUGUUGUGAAGGGGCAACACAUAGCGCUGAGAGUUAGAGCUGCUGGGAAGGGGCAACACAGAGCGCUGAGAUUUAGUCAGAGCUGCUCUGAAGAGGCAACAGCGAGCGCUGAGCGUUAGAGCUGCGUUGUAGGGGCAAGAGAGAGCGAUGAGGUUUACAGCUGCUGUGAGGGGCAACUGAGAGCGCUUAGAAUUAGAGCUGCUCUCAAGUAGCAAACAGAGCGGUUAGAGUUAGAGCUCCUCUGAAGGGGCAACAGAGCGCUCUGAGAGUUAGAGCUGCUGUGAAGGGGCCACAGAAAGCGCUGUGAUUUAGUCAGUGCUACUCUGAAGCGCAACAGAGCGCGCUGAGAGUUAGAGCUGCUGUGAAGGGGCAACACAGCGCACUGAGAUUUAGUGAGAGCUGCACUGAAGGGGCAACAGCGAGCGCUGAGCGUUAGAGCUGCGUUGAAGGGGCAACAGAGCUCACUGAGGUUUACAGCUGCUGUGAAGGGGCAACUGAGAGCGCUUAGAAUUAGAGCUGCUCUCAAGUAGCAAACAGCGGUGAGAGUUAGAGCUCCUGUGAAGGGGCAAUAGAGAGCGCUGAGAGUUAAAGCUGCCUUGGGGAAACAGAGAGCGCUGAGAUUUAGUCAGAGCUGCUCUGAAGGGCAACAGAGAGCGCUGAAGGAGCUUCUGUGAAGGGGCAACACAGAGCGCUAAGAUUUAGUGAGAGCUGCACUGAAGGGGCAACGGCGAGCGCUUAGAGUUAGAGCUGCGUUGAAGGGGCAACACAGAGCGUUGAGAGUCAGGGCUGCUGUGAAGCGGAAACAGUGGUGAGAGUUAGAGCUGUUGUGAAGGGGCAACACACAGCGCUGAGAGUUAGAGCUGCUGUGAAGGGGCAACAGAGCUCGCUGAGGUUCAGAGCUGCUGUGAAGGGGCAACUGAGAGCGCUUAGAAUUAGAGCUGCUGUGAAGAAGCAAACAGAGCGCUGAGAGAUAGAGGUGCUGUGGAGGGGAAACAGAGCGCGCUGAGAUUCAGUCAGAGCUGCUCUGAAGGGCAACAGAGAGCGCUGAUAGUUAGAGCUGCAUUAAAGGGGCAACAAAGAGUGCUGUGAGUUAGAGCUGCUGUGAAGGGGCAACAGAGCUCGCUGAGAGUUAGAGCUGCUGUGAAGGGGCAACUGAGAGCACUGAGAGUUAAAGCCGCUGUGAAGGGGCAACAGAGAGCGUAGAGAGUCAGGGCUGCUGUGAAGCGGAAACAGAGAUUGGUGAGAGUUAGAGCUGCUGUGAAGGGGAAACAGAGAGUGGUGAGAGUUACAGCUGUUGUGAAGGGGCAACACACAGCGCUGAGAUUUAGAGCUGCUGUGAAGGGGCAACACAGAUCGCUGAGAUUUAGUCGGAGCUCCUCUGAAGGGGCAACAGAGCGCUCUGAGAGUUAGAGCUGCUGUGAAGGGGCCACAGAAAGCGCUGAGAUUUAGUGCUACUCUGAAGGGCAACAGAGCGCGCUGAGAGUUAGAGCUGCUGUGAAGGGGCAACAGAGCGUGCUGAGAGAGUUUCUGUGAAGGGGCAACACAGCGCGCUGAGAUUUAGUCAGAGCUGCACUGAAGGGGCAACAGCGAGCGCUGAGAGUUAGAGCUGCGUUAAAGGGGCAACAGAGCUCGCUGAGGUUUACAGCUGCUGUGAAGGGGCAACUGAGAGCGCUUAGAAUUAGAGCUGCUCUCGAUGAGCAAACAGAGCGGUGAGAGUUAGAGCUCCUGUGAAGGGGCAAUAGAGAGCGCUGAGAGUUAAUGCUGCCUUGGGGAAACAGAGAGCACUGAGAUUUAGUCAGAGCUGCUCUGAAGGGCAACAGAGAGCGGUGAGAGUUAGAGCUGCGUUAAAGUGGGAACAGAGUGCUGUGAGUUAUAGAGCUGCAUUGAAGGGGCAACUGAGAGCGCUUAGAGUUAGAGCUGCUGUGAAGAAGCAAACAGAGCGCUGAGAGAUAGAGCUGCUGUGGAGGGGAAACAGACAGCGCUGAGAUUUAGUCAGAGCUACAAUGAAGGGUCAACAGAGCGCUGAGAGUUAUAGCUGCUAUGAAUGGGCAACAGUGAGCGCUGAGUUACAGCUGUGUUGAUGGGCAACCCAGAGCGUUGAGAGUGAGGGCUGCUGUGAAGCGGAAACAGAGUGGUGAGAGUUAGAGCUGCUGUGAAAGGGAAACAGAAUGGUGAGAGUUCCAGC